Molecule: long non-coding RNA, 497 nt
Filed under: Malus domestica (apple)
Lineage: Eukaryota; Viridiplantae; Streptophyta; Magnoliopsida; Rosales; Rosaceae
Description: long non-coding RNA (MDOM_LNC011667)
Source: RNAcentral
UUGUGGAAAACUGGAGAGGAAUUGGACGUGGGCAAUUGUCUCUGCCCCAAAAAAGCAAGUAUAAUUAUCUCUGCCCAGCAGUACGUACAAGGGAAAUUAUUUCUGCUCAGAAGUGUACGUAAGAAACAUGGAGAUUUGCAAACUGAUUAAAUUACACACAAAAUAUGAGUAGAUAUCAAAGUGCAAACACUGAUAAGCCAGUUGCAACGCUGCGUUUGCAACAUGCUAACACAUCUCGCCUGUUUAUUAGUUAUAUUACAUUUAAGAUUUGCAGACUGAUUAAAUUACACACAAAUUUGAGUAGACAUCAAAGGGCAAACACUGAUAAGCCAGUUGCAACACUGCGUUUGCAACAUGCUAACACAUCUCGCUUGUUUAUUAGUUAUAUUACAUUUAAUCACACUCAAACAGAAAACUUCACAGACACGAUAUUGUGAUCAACAAGCCUGGAACAUCUUGAUUGUUCAAUAACCGGCAUUAUCAGGUCCCUGAUUAGC